AAAUUGAAGAGUUUGAUCAUGGCUCAGAUUGAACGCUGGCGGCAGGCCUAACACAUGCAAGUCGAGCGGAAACGACAUUAUUGAAUCUUCGGAGGAUUUAAUGGGCGUCGAGCGGCGGACGGGUGAGUAAUGCCUAGGAAAUUGCCUUGAUGUGGGGGAUAACCAUUGGAAACGAUGGCUAAUACCGCAUAAUGCCUACGGGCCAAAGAGGGGGA
RNAcentral lists this ribosomal RNA (215 nucleotides) under Vibrio lentus. RNAcentral's name for it is "partial 16S ribosomal RNA". It matches the Rfam family "Bacterial small subunit ribosomal RNA", at positions 1 to 211 of the family's 1533-position model. The record is from RNAcentral. Lineage: Bacteria; Pseudomonadati; Pseudomonadota; Gammaproteobacteria; Vibrionales; Vibrionaceae.